RNAcentral lists this long non-coding RNA (1469 nucleotides) under Papio anubis (olive baboon). RNAcentral's name for it is "lncRNA (ENSPANG00000048466.1)". Lineage: Eukaryota; Metazoa; Chordata; Mammalia; Primates; Cercopithecidae. The record is from RNAcentral.
AUGUUUGCAAAGAUAGAGGAUAAGCAUUUCUGUCUGCAAGAGACAAAGCCCCGAGGUUGGCUCUUUCACAGCCACGCUGGAUGCUGUCCAGGGCAGGAGUUCAGUUUCUCGCCAGUACUUCACUGCUGCAUGAAUGCAGCAAAGGCUGCAGAAUUGCAUAUGGGCGGAUCCCUGGAUUCCUACAGUAAAGGAGGCAGGCUUCUGAAGCCAGGAUAUGUAACGCCGGUGUAUGGCAGUCCUGCUUCCUGUUUCUCCCCACAUUGGCUCCCUGGGAAAUCUCAUCCACUCCAUGGUUUAAAAUAUCAUCUAUGUGCAAGAAAGGCAAAAUGUGUGGGCCCUGUCCAGAUUCCUUUUCUGAGUGCAAGAUCACUGUACAUCUUUAAUUGGAUUUCCCCAAAACUUGUAUCUCUACAGUUUAAGUCUUGAGUGGAUUUUUUUUGUCUUUCUGUUUGCUUUCAUUUAUCAUGAGUGCUGAUUUUUGUCAAAUGCCUUUUCUCUGUCUAUUGAGAUAAUCAUAUGGUUUUUUUCCUUUAUCCUAUUAACAUGUUUUAACUGAUUGAUUUUUAUAAGUUAAAAUAACUUUAUAUUCCUUGGAUAAGUCCCACUUGGUUAUGGCAUAGUACUUUUUAUAUAUUACUGGAUUCAGUUUGUUAGUAUUUUAUUGAGGCUUUUUUGCAGCUAUAUUCACAAGAGUUAUUGGUCUGUAAUUUCCCCCUCCCCCCAGCUUUAUCGAGGUAUAGUUGACAAAUUAAAAUUGUAUGUAUUCAAAGAAUACAAUGUGAUGAUUUGAUACACAUAUAUAUUGUAAAAUCAUGGCCUCGAUCAAAUGAACUAACACGUUAAUCACCACACAUAUCUACCAUUUGUCUCUGUGUGUGUGUGUGUGUGUGUGUGUGUGUGUGUGUGUGUGUGUGGUGAGGACAUAGAGUUUGAGAUUUUUUUUUUUUUUAAGAUACAUAGUCUUGCUGUGUUGUCCUGGCUGAAGUACAGGAGUGCUAUCACAGUUCAACACAACCUCAAACUCCUGGGCUCAAGCAAUUCCCCCACCUCAGCCUCCCAAGUAGUUGGGACUACAAGUAUGCACCAAAAUGCCUGGCUAAUUUUUUAUUUUUAUUUUUAAUAGAGAUGGGGUCUUGCUAUGUUGCCAGGCUGGUAUCAAACUCUUGGCUUCAAGCAAUCUUCCUACCUCAGCCUCCUAAAGCACUGGGAUUACAGGCAUGAGCCACUGCACCUGACCCAGUUUAAGUCUUGACACCUCACUCUAGACGUCUUCUCAUUCCUGUUCUCCCCACCUCGGUGACUGACAUACCAGAGACCUUGGAAGCAGCUGUGUUUCUAUCAUAUUUGGUAUCCUUUCCCCACUCUUCACCCACCCAAGCAAUUCUCAGCUUAAAUUACACUUACUCAGAGAAGAUUUCAUUGACGACUGCUCAAUCAAUGGCAAGUUCUUCUUCACCCUCUUAUUUUCU